RNAcentral lists this long non-coding RNA (798 nucleotides) under Zostera marina. Its description in RNAcentral is "long non-coding RNA (ZMAR_LNC004051)". The record is from RNAcentral. Lineage: Eukaryota; Viridiplantae; Streptophyta; Magnoliopsida; Alismatales; Zosteraceae.
AUCGGAUUGUCUGUCUGAGCUUCUGGCCGGGGUCUUUUUUUUAAUCACUGCAUUUUUAAUUUAAGUUUUAGUGUAUGUGAUUUAAUUUAUAUUUAUUUAUGUAUCACCUAGGUUAUAUACCUUUAAUAAUAAUCAUAUAAAGAAACUGACACUUUUAUUUGUACUCCAACUACGUGGGAAUAUAGGGUCACGACUCACGAACUAGACUCAACUCAAUGGCAUAACUUCCGGCGAUCUCUUCUUUCCUGAAAUCCUGGAACUAUGUCCCUUUCAAUCAAUGGGCAAAUCUGAAAAUUUUGAUGUUAGUGUGUUUAUUGGAAAAAGAUCAUUUUGAAUUAUCUGAUGCAGCAAAGCUAGGUACUAACUGUGUGCGAUCUCGUGAUGGGAAACACCCCCCCUCCAUGGGGAGAUUGGGAAAAGCUGCGUGCGAUCAAGUACUUCAGACCAUUAGCGUGCAAUGUCAUCUACAUGACAUCCGCCGCCAUCAAUGGCAGACCCUCCCUGGACAGCUCCUCUUUGCUAAUAAGGGCGAUCAGAGACACAUGUGAGGAGGCACGCUUAGCUGCAUUUAUCAAAAACUCCUGGAGGCCACGAAAGGCUUUCAGAAGGGAAUACAGGCCUAGACAAACAGAUAACGCUGAUAGACAGUACAGAGAAUCACUGGCAAUGAUCAUGGCACCUCCCAUCGGCGCCCCUGCAAGGGAAAUAGCUUUGGAAAACCUACUCCAGGACGAAGCAAACCCUCAAGCAAAUUUAAAGGAGCAUGAUAACGAUUUGGGCCCAGAGAGAACAAAUUAC